This 468-nucleotide ribosomal RNA is filed under the name uncultured bacterium. RNAcentral's name for it is "partial 16S ribosomal RNA". It matches the Rfam family "Bacterial small subunit ribosomal RNA", at positions 28 to 507 of the family's 1533-position model. The record is from RNAcentral.
GACGAACGCUGGCGGCGUGCUUAACACAUGCAAGUCGAACGGAAAGGCCCUGCUUUUGUGGGGUGCUCGAGUGGCGAACGGGUGAGUAACACGUGAGUAACCUGCCCUUGACUUUGGGAUAACUUCAGGAAACUGGGGCUAAUACCGGAUAGGAGCUCCUGCUGCAUGUUGGGGGUUGGAAAGUUUCGGCGGUUGGGGCUGGACUCGCGGCUUAUCAGCUUGUUGGUGGGGUAGUGGCAUACCAAGGCUUUGAGGGAUAGCCGGCCUGAGAGGGUGACCGGCCACAAUGGGACUAAGGGAGGGCCCAGAAUCCAACCGGAGGCAGCGGGGGGGAGUAUUACACAAUGGGCGGAAGCCUGAUGCAGCGACGCCGCGUGCGGGAUGACGGCCUUCGGGUUGUAAACCGAUUUCGACUGUGACGAAGAGUGAGUGACGGUAAUGGGUAAAGAAGCCCCGGCUAACUACGUG